This 503-nucleotide ribosomal RNA is filed under the name uncultured bacterium. RNAcentral's name for it is "partial 16S ribosomal RNA". It matches the Rfam family "Bacterial small subunit ribosomal RNA", at positions 30 to 523 of the family's 1533-position model. The record is from RNAcentral.
AUUGAACGCUGGCGGCAGGCUUAACACAUGCAAGUCGAGCGGGGUGAUGGUGCUUGCACUAUCACUUAGCGGCGGACGGGUGAGUAAUGCUUAGGAAUCUGCCUAUUAGUGGGGGACAACAUCUCGAAAGGGAUGCUAAUACCGCAUACGUCCUACGGGAGAAAGCAGGGGAUCACUUGUGACCUUGCGCUAAUAGAUGAGCCUAAGUCGGAUUAGCUAGUUGGUGGGGUAAAGGCCUACCAAGGCGACGAUCUGUAGCGGGUCUGAGAGGAUGAUCCGACACACUGGGACUGAGACACGGCCCAGAGUCCGACGGGAGGCAGCAGUGGGGAAUAUUGGACAAUGGGGGGAACCCUGAUCCAGCCAUGCCGCGUGUGUGAAGAAGGCCUUAUGGUUGUAAAGCACUUUAAGCGAGGAGGAGGCUCUUUUGGUUAAUACCCAGAAUGAGUGGACGUUACUCGCAGAAUAAGCACCUGCUAACUCUGUGCCAGCCGCCGCAGUAA